RNAcentral lists this ribosomal RNA (507 nucleotides) under uncultured bacterium. Its description in RNAcentral is "bacterial SSU rRNA". It matches the Rfam family "Bacterial small subunit ribosomal RNA", at positions 45 to 522 of the family's 1533-position model. The record is from RNAcentral.
UGGAUUAGGCAUGCAAGUCGAACGGGAUCCAGGGCUAUAGCAAUAUAAUCCUGGUGAGAGUGGCGUAAGGGUGAGUAACGCGUGGGUAAUCUACCUCUAUGUUGGGGAUAACUCGCCGAAAGGUGAGCUAACACCGAAUGUGGUCGGCUCUCAUAAGGGAGAUGGAUUAAAGACGGGGAUCCUUCGGGACCUGUCGCAUGGAGAUGAGCCCGCGUGCCAUCAGCUAGUUGGUGAGGUAAUGGCUCACCAAGGCUUACGGCUAGCUGGUCUGAGAGGAUGACCAGCCACACUGGGACUGAGACACUGCCCAGACUCCUACGGGAGGCUGCAGUCGAGGAUCUUGGACAAUGGGGGCAACCCUGAUCCAGCGACGCUGCGUGGAGGAUGAAGGCCUUCGGGUUGUAAACUCCUGUCAUUCGGGAAAAACGGCUCCGGGAUUAAUACUCCCGGGGAGUGAUGGUACCGGAAGAGGAAGCCACGGCUAACUCUGUGCCAGCAGCCGCGGUA